This 4371-nucleotide long non-coding RNA is filed under the name Homo sapiens (human). Its description in RNAcentral is "non-protein coding LINC01605:19". Lineage: Eukaryota; Metazoa; Chordata; Mammalia; Primates; Hominidae. The record is from RNAcentral.
GUCAGUAAUUUCUCCCCUAGCAAGAAUGAGGAAGAUGAAGAGCUCGGGUAUCUGAGGGCUGGUGUGUCUGCAUGCGUGUGUGUUUUGGGGGCCGACUGAAGGAAGAGAAGGCUGGAGAGAGGGAACAUGGGUCUGAGGGCACAUCGCUAAGGGGUCAAGAGGCCUAAAGGAGGAGUCUAAGGCUCUCCAUCGAACUUGGACUUGGUCUACAUUAGACUUUAACCUCCAUGAGGCUUGGACUUUCAGGCUUCCUCCCUCACACCGCGGGCAGGUGAGGCGUCUGCUACAGGCCUGGUCUCGCAGAGGGGGCCCAGCGCCCCCCGCCGCCGCCUUCUCCUGGAGUCUGUGUGACAGAAUGGGACCUGUGGGAAAGCAGCACGUCAGCACCCAGCCCCGCUUGCGCGCCAGCAGCUAAUUAAAGCCAGGAAGGUGAUGGCGAUUUUCAACUCAUUCCCGUUACAAACAGCCGACCUUCCUACCGAGUUCAAGUACCUUCUGCCUGGCCUGGAAGAACAAUAUCUCUCUGUCUCCCUCUUCCACUGGCCCUCACCUGCCUUCCCCUGAACAUGCAUUUUGCCUGACAGGAGACAGAGGCAGUUGAUGCUUGCAGCUUGGUCCAGGAGGCCAGCAGGACCAGAGAGAAGACCACAGCGACACAUGGGGAUGGCUGUCCCACAGGCAGAAAUGAGCAGCCGGGAGGAAGCCCAGGCAGCCAGCCACCCAGCUCCCUCCACAUCGUGGCCCUAGAACGGAGUCUUGAAGAAUAAGAAGCCACAGCUUGUCAGGGAAUCAGGCUGGAAAAAUGUUAUGAGACUGAGUAAGACCAGAGAUUCCUCAGCAGUGCCUGGAGAAGACCAGGAGAGGAAGCAGAAGACCCUCCUCAAAGAAGCAGCCUUCACCUCCAGACCUCCCAGCGGGACUUAGACAAUGGGGUUAGGCAGUCACAUGUCUGCACGUGGAAACUUUCUGGGACUGUGCUUGGAUCCUGGCUCUGCCUUUUACUAGCCAUGUGACCUUGGGAAAAUCACUUGACUUCUCCGUGCAGGAUUCCUCAUCUGUAAAAAUGGUCUAAGAUUAGGAGCCACCUCAAGGUUGUUGUAGGAAUUAAAUUAAUUCAUGUUUAUAAAGUGCUUUGAACAGCGUUUGGCACAUGGUAAGUGCUAUGUGGUAAGUGCUGUCUAUUGAUUACAUAAAUAAAAGUGAUCACCAUUAGACUUUCCAUGCAGAUGAUAUUAUGCAUAUACAUAUCUCCCGCAUAUGACGUCAUUGGAUCGUUUUGCAAUGGUGGGGGGUUUAUUCUUUUCCUUUUUGUUUUCUUCUUUUUUUUGUCAGAUGAAGAAACUGAUGGGAAGUGAAUUGGUUUGUAUUAAACAUUAGGUUUGCUAGGUCUCUCACAUAUUUAUUUAGUCCUCAUAACAAUUGUAUAAAAUAAAUAUUAUUUAUUCAUUUAUUUAUUUGUAAAGAUGGGUCUCGCUAUGUUGCCCAGGCUGGUCUUGAACUCCCGGGCUCAAGUGAUCCUCCUGCCUUGGACUUCCAAAAUAUUGGGAUUAAAGGUAUGCGCUACUGCACCCGGCCUAAAAGAAAUACUAUUAUCCCCAUUUUACAGAUUUGUAAACAGAAGCUGACACUUCAGAGUUCCAUCCUAAUGAAAGUAGGAUGUGACAGGGGAGCAAAUCUGCUUUGCCCCUGCCCAAGGGCUGGCAGCUCCUCCUCCUGGGGUGCAUGGUGAGUGGGUACACCACUCAUCUGUAUGUACCCGGCAGAAGCUGUCAAUUCAGUUCACGUCACUCAAGUUGAAUGGAUGUAAAACACACACAGAAGCACCAAGUAAUUGCAUUGUUUUCAAAUUACUCACCUCUAGGAGAAUUAAAUGAGCAAACGGAAGAGCAGCAACCCUGAGUUACAUUUCUCAAGACACCGGGGCUCUUGAUGGCACAGCAGCAGCUUGCUAGAGCUUGGUAAAGAGACUUGGGCCUGGUACCUGAAGGGCAAUUCCUUGGCCAUGACAUUGUAGGGAAAGACCUCUAUGGGUGUUGAAAAGACAAGGCGAGGACAAGAAGAGUUGAAAAGGAGCUGUUCUGAAGCCACCUGGCUGUGGAUGGAGGAAGCCACAUGUAGCUUAGGUAGCCUGCUAUUGUAAUUUUUUCUGCAACUGAAGAAUUCGAAAUGGGUUUGGUGGGUAGCGAAGGGCAGAAUCUGGCUUCAAGGUGACAGAGUUUGCAUAGAGAUGGCCUUCUUGAGCAAAGGUAGUGACUCCUACAUUUUUUUUUUUUGUAGAGUUGUGAUACCCAUGAGUUAGUCAGCUUGGGCUAUCAUAACAAAAUACCACACAUUGGUUGGCUUAAACAACAGAAAUUCAUUUUCCUGUAAUUCUGGAGGCUGGAAGUCCAAGAUCAAGGUGACGACAGAGUUGGGUUUCCUCUGAAGCCUCUCUCCUUGGUUUUCAGAUGGGUGUCCUCUUGCUGUCUCUUCAUGUGACUGUCCCUCUGCAUGUGUGCCCCUGGGGACUCUUUCUUAUCUUAUAGUGACACUAGUUCUAUUGGAUUGAAGUGUACCCAUACGACCUCAUUUAAACUUAAUUACAUAUUGUAAGGCCCUAACUUCAAAUACAGUCACAUCCUGAGGUACUGUGUAUUAGGGCUUCAACAUAUAAAUUUUGGGGCAAUCCAGUUCAGCCCAUAAAAUCCCUUUUUGGUUGCUUGAUUCUGUUUAUUUGGUGUCAUGCCUUCCUUUUCCUAAAGAACUUCAUGAAUAGAAUUACUUUCUAAGUGAAAGGAACAAAACUGAUUUUUAUUAAAAAUUAUUUUGAGAUGCUUGUGACAAAUUUUGAAGUAAGUGAAGAUUUUCCUGGAGCUUCUACAAAAUCCUGGCUGAGAAUCCCUGCUUUCUGGACAGUUGAGAAGGAAAUACACUUAGUACAGCUGUUAGAGAGAUAUAGUUGCAACCACUGAGUGCUUAUUAUCUGCCAACUUAAAUAUAUUGCCCAAGGGAAUAACAAAUAUUCUAGUGUUCUUGUUAAGUAUAUUGUCUAAGGUCACACAGCUCUUAAACAACAGCUUCAGGAUUUGAACCUGGAAUCUAUCUGACUCCUAAGUCCAGAUGCUGUUCACCACAUUAGGUUGAAGCAUGGCCAGUGUUCAUAACAUACAACUAUGUCUCCAUAUCUUUUGCUAACCAAUGUUCUUGUAUGUGCAUACCUUACAGGGCAGCCAUUCACCACAAGCCCUACUAGAUGGCUUCCUGUAAUAAGGGUAGAACAGUAGUACUCUCCUUUUGAGAAGUUAUUUGUAAUUUUGUUGGUGGGCUGACAUUUAGGCCCUGCUCUCCAGCCCCAGAGGGGAUCCCAUAACCUAGAUCAGGCCAAUGAUGAUUAUCUCCGUGACUGUAGUGGCUGGUCCAGCGGGGAGGGUCAGGCAGGUAAGCUGGCCCAACCUGAGUCCUUCUUGAGGAUUUUAGAAACUGAAGGUAGGAGAGAAAAAUUCUCUCUUUUCUUCUGGGGAACGGGAUGAAGGUGGUGGGUAGGCAGAGCUGUUGGGAUGUGGAUCCAGGGAUUCUGGAAGUCCUGUCCUCCACCAUGUAAAGAAUACAUCCUGCAGAAGGAGAGAAGGGAGCCAGCACACAGAGAAGCAGAGUCAGGAGAUGGAGAAGGAGAAUCCUGAGAGCCUGAAGGUCCCUGGGUCCAGCCAUUGUCAAGGCCGAGUUCUACCGUCCUUAAGUUGUUUACCUUUCUUUCUUGCUUGCUUCUGUUAGAAGAUGAACACUCAAUGAAAAAUCACCAAACAUCUGAGGAAAGCCAUCAAAAUGAAAUAAACGAAACACACAAGUUCCUAAACACAAGUGAACAGCGUGGGCUGGGUUUUUGUCGCUUGGAACUGGAAACGCUGACGAUAAUGCUGACCUCUGAGCAGACCCACGUGAGGGGCAGCUGUGGUGUGGUGUGAUGAUGCUGGGAUAGGCACUCAGAUGGUUGAGUCUGAGUUUGGCUCUGAUAUUAUAUCAACUGCAUGGGCAGCUGUGGUGUGGUGUGAUGAUGCUGGGAUAGGCACUCAGAUGGUUGAGUCUGAGUUUGGCUCUGAUAUUAUAUCAACUGCAUGGGCAGCUGUGGUGUGGUGUGAUGAUGCUGGGAUAGGCACUCAGAUGGUUGAGUCUGAGUUUGGCUCUGAUAUUAUAUCAACUGCAUGGGCAGCUGUGGUGUGGUGUGAUGAUGCUGGGAUAGGCACUCAGAUGGUUGAGUCUGAGUUUGGCUCUGAUAUUAUAUCAACCGCAUCAUUUUGGGGAAGACACAAUUUCUCAGAAUUUUAUUUAGUUGUAAAAUAAAGAUAAUGAUAUUACAUGCUCUGUCUACCAUCUAGAGUUUUUGUCAAGACAAAC